Hipposideros armiger (great roundleaf bat) is the source of this 5526-nucleotide long non-coding RNA. RefSeq lists it as uncharacterized. The transcript is spliced from 3 exons. The record is from RefSeq and is a predicted model, not a curated record. Lineage: Eukaryota; Metazoa; Chordata; Mammalia; Chiroptera; Hipposideridae.
GGAAGCCAGGGCAGUUGGGAAGCUGCAAGGAGAAAAGGAUGAGCUCAUUGCAAUCCUUGAUUCGUGACAAGCAGAGCUGCUGCUGCCGCCGCCGCCACUGCCUCUUGCUGUGAAUCAGUAAUGAAGGGGUCGGGAAGGACGGGAGGGGAGCGGAGGAGACAGACGUGGGAAUGGCGUGGACCCAAAUCCAAGAGUAAUGAGAAUUACACCUCUCUCUACAAGCAAACCAGAGCAGUGCUUCUGACAUCAUCUUUUUGUCACAUUUACUAGCUGUGUGACACGGGGAGUCAUGCAGAAGAGGAGAAAAGGUGUAAAAUGCAUCGUGUUCAUCUGGGUUCAGGCUCAGAAAGACAAGAAGGACUCGGGCUGUGUUAACAUCAGAAAGAGCCAAACGCUGAAAAGGACACCAUUCCUGAGAGACCAAGGGCCUCUUCCGUCCACGCGCACGAUUUAGACACAUUAAUAAUCCAUAGAAAAGGAUGAUGCUCUUUCUCAACCAGGAGAGGAAAAGUUGCAAAACCUUAAUGCUGUAGCUAUUUCUGUUUUUGUCUGAUAGACUACUUUUUAAAUGACGAGCCCUAAUAAUUUGGUACGUUCCCAAGAUCCCACAAACAAGUCAAAGAUGACACGAGUCAUGUCGGUAGCUUGAUGCUGUACAAGCCCACACAACUCACUCUGCCGCUCAAGUCUUGAUUCUGCUCCACACUGUGCCACGUCAUUCUGGGGACAGAAAGACACAUCAGGUGCUGCUUCUAACUUUAUGGAUCAUUCAAGCUACUUGAAGAAAAGGCUAAAAUGAAAUGCAAUGAGACUGAGCACGCAAGUUACGUUGCAGGGAAAUGAGUCUCAUUACUUUGUAGGUGGAACUCACACACUGAAGAAUUAGAGUGAAAAUAAAAGAAAAUACAUAAUUAACUGGCACCAUGGUGGGUAGUUCAGGUAACAAGUGUAUAGGAAUUCAAAGGGGGGGGAAAAAGCUUCCUGUAAAAGAUUAUAGACUUGCCGAGUUUUUUAGGUAUGUUCUGACCUCUUGUGAGACUUAAGGCAUAAUGACCUUAAAUGCGAUUUUUGUUUUGUUUUGUUUUUAAAAGAAGAGAGAACUUUCGUCCACCAAAAGUAAUUUGAUAUAACAGUCUGAGUAGUCAUGGCAGUGUCACCAUUACCUUACUACCGGCCCCUGGGAUCAGAUUCUAGUGUAAUGCCUUGGUUAGGGCAACAACUUCCACAGUCUCUUGGAGAGCUAGUCAUUUUGCCUCUGCUUUCAUUUCUUCAUCGACAAUUAGCUCAAAAGGCUGGACAUUUUAUUUUAUUACUGGACAUUUAUAUGUGUUUAAAAAGGACUAGUAUGGUAAGCCAGAAAUCUGAAACCCCUAGUCACUGGGUUGGCUUUUAUAGUUUAUAAUAACACAGAACAAGACUUAUUCUGUAUAAUAACACAGAAUAUUUUCCUUAACAUGUGAUGUUAAGUCAGUCUUAAUUUCCUUUUUUUUUGGUUGUUUUUCAAGACAACCAUCCCUACUACUAACUGGGCCUCCUAUGAGCUGGUUUCUGGACCAUUCUAGACUGUUCACAAUCCUACCUCCUGCACCAAGGACAAGCUUUUUUUUUUGGCCAGUGUCCCUGAACACGUACUACCCACACUGAAAAGGAUAUUCUAGAUACGAUAACAGAAUAAUAAAUAAUGCGAUGCUGUUAGAUGCUAGAAAACGUCGAAGUCUAAUAUGUGUAUCCUAUUGAUGGAAAGACUGAGGCAGCAGAUAAGUGAGCUGCUCAGGGUCACGAAACUUGUCGGAGGGAGAGCCAGGGAGCCAGGGUCGCAGACCCCAGCUGCACAGGCGCAAACCACCAUCCCCUGCACCGUCACGUGCUACCUUUCAAUUAGUGUAGGCCAUUGAAAAGCUACCUUACUAGGACGACGGUCCCACCAUUUCAUUCCACGUGGACUUGGUCUGGAGCCUGUGCUCACCAUCUAGUAUGGGAGAAGCUACGAGUCUUCGAUUUGAGUGGAGAGGGGCCUUCCAGAAACCUGCCUUGACAAUAGUCACUCUAAACACAGAUGUGCUCGUGGUAACGAAGCGCAUCUGCCUUCUCAGGUUUCAACUGAGCAGCACCUCUUCUUCAAUCAGACAGAGCGGCUACGUCCUUGGCACAGUGUCUGCACAUGGGCAGCCUUCUGGAAGCCAUGUUGGCAGGGCAGGCUUGACAAUGAAAAGCUGUCUCAUUUCAUCCAUCGCCUGGGCAGAGCAUGCAGGGCUCAUCUUCAUUUCCAAGCGGAAGCAGAAGGCACACGUGAGAGUCAGCUGGGGCCUCCUCUUUCAUUUUAAAUUGAUCAGAUUAAAAUGAUGACAUAUAGAAUCUCAACUACUUCUUGGUCCUCUCAAGCUAGCUCAGCAUCUGACUUUUGAUUUGUGUGUGUGUGUGUGUUGUCAUUGUCACUAAAAAUAAUGAGGUGCUGUGCUCAUCUUGGUAAGUUGUAAAUUGCCUCUGCCUUCUUCCUCUCAUCCAUCUCCAGCUCUCUAUUAAAUCUGCUAUCUCUGGCAUCUUCACGUUACUCAGACUGCUAGGUGUAGUCUAACAGCUGUCUCUGUGAAAAAUAAUAUUUUCAGUGGAGGAGUUCUAUGGGUCAGCCCAUGUAUUAGCAAGUGAAUUUGUUUCACCAAAUGAAUGUGCCAAGAAGGGGACAUUUGUUUAUUUAUUUAUUUUGAAUAGACAAAUCUGCUUUCUGAAAUAAAGAUGGCGAUAGAUUGUACAGCUAUACCAUUUCCCCCCCAACCCUGCCUGCCUCCCACUCACUCACUCAUUCAUGGUUUCAAAUGAGUUCAGUUGAAAUUGGGAAGUAGUGAAAUGGCGACAGUGGAGGUGAUUUUUCCUCUCCUUUCACUGGAGGUGGCCAGCUCUCUCUCCACCUCCCUUACAAGUUCAGUACUAUACCAAGUAUUGCCACAGGCUGUCUUGCAGGACGAUAGUCACAAGUGAACACAUGGAUACAGGUCUCUCCUGCGUGCCCGGCUCCUUUACGUGUCUCACACUCAUGCUUGUUCCAAGCAGGGCUUAACAAAGCAACUUACACAUCGCCAACUCUUUAUAAAUCUUUAAAUGACUAAAAGAAUCAGUAAUAAUAGCUACCAUUUAUUCAGUGUUUAUAAAGGCCAGGAACUAUGCUAAGCCCUUAGAAUAUGUAUGAUUGGCUUUAAUCUGAACAAGCAAUUAUGCCCAUUUUGCAAAGGAGGCAGCUGAGCCUAGAAAAGCUAAGUGACUUGCCCAAGAUCAUGUAGCUCAGAAGUGGUGAGUACAACUACAAUUUUUUGGAUAACUACUCAUCUGAUAUCUAAGUAUCAAAUUGAGUUAUCUGAACCAGUGAAGGGGGUGAAGUUAAACAAGCUACAUCUAGAGGCUAAUCAAUAGUCCAGUGGAAACAACGGGAUUUAUGUGGUCAUGUCACUAUGACUAUACACAGUGUCUUGGGUUCUAAAAGAAAUGACACAUACAAAAAUGGAGCAAAACCUUCUGCUCAAAGAGCAGCAUCUGUACCCUGCUGAUCUUAUCCACAUCCUUCUCGAUUAUUGCUAUUGAACAACUCAGACAUGAGAUUAGCCUCUCCUUCUCUACAGAGCUCCUUACUGGCAUAAACAGCAUGAUAUGCAAUUUAAUCUCAGCAUGUCCAAAGUCACCAUGUCUUCCCCAAUGCAGUUCCUCCUUUUACAUGGCGUCUCCUGGCUGACAGCAUCCUCAUCUACCCAAUUACCCCAAUGCACACCUGGGUGGCAUCCUAGAGUCCUCCUUUCACCUCAAAACUUUUAAUAACCCUUCCAAAUGUUGUCAUGGAAAGAACAAAAGCUGAGAUAUCAGAGCUAUAGGAUUUAAAACCUAUAUUUGAUGUCCAGUAGCUGUAUGACUUCAGGAAAGUUAGCCUCUUUGAGUCUCAUUUUUCAUUAAGAAAAUGAGGUUUAAAAUAGUAAUCUUCUGAAGUUGCUAAUGCUACAAACAUCUGUGACAUUUCAAACUUGGUAAACUGGGAUGGCAGUCAGGAUAUUAACUAAUAGGGACAGCGCUGGGGACAGGAGAAGAUGAAGGACAGAUGGAGUUAGCACGCAGUAUGUGGCCAUCUGUGGUGAUGUGCCAUGGGCCAUGGGAAAUGAGUCCAGAGCCAACGGGUGGCUAUAGAAAGCCUGCGUAGACAUGGGCAAGAUGACUUCUGGAAAUGAAUGGGGAAACUAGGGAACAUAUAGGAGCCAUGAAGAGAUGUUCUCAUAGUAUGUCUUGAUAUCCUUCAGUGAUCCCAGAUGCGCCUUAAUAACCAGUUGUAUAAUUCCAUGUUAGGGAACGACCUCCCCCAGCAGACAGAAUGUUCCCUGAGGGGAGGCACUGUGUCUGCUUCCCUUACCUGUAUGUCCCCAGUACCUGUACAGUGACUCCAUAAGCAGCAGCUCAGGAAAUGAUUCCUGAGUUGAUCAAUGACAGAACCUCCUGUAAAAUGGGCUUUCUAAUCAUUUGCUUGAAAUUUGGUGGCCUCAAUAGUCAUGUGAGGAUACAAAUUUCUAAUUCAAACGUGCUAAGGUGGGGGUAAGAAGAAACACCUCACACGUUCCUGUGGUGGUCCAGACAUUGUGUCAUCCACUUUCAUGUGCAAUCUCAUUUCAUUCCUGUGAUACGUUAGAAUAAAAUCAUUGCUAAAAUAAAUGAUUUGAUCAUGGUUUUCAAAAUCAUUGUGCUCCAUUUCUACAUCCUUGAUUCCUCACUUUCCCUGCGCCUUCCAAAUUCAAUUCAUCUACAAGCCCUGUCAGCCCUAUCUACAAAAUUAGCUUGAAUUUGUCCUCUUUUUCCAUCUUUGCUGACACUACAAACUACCAUCAUUUCCUGCUCAUCCUACUGAAAUAAUGCCCUAACUAGUCCACACUUCUACUCUCUCCUCUUUAAAAUGCACAUCCACAUAACAGAAUUCCUCAGUGUCUUAAAACUACAAAUCAGAUCCAACGUCUUCCUGCUUAGAACUGAGACUGGGUUCCCGUUAUACCAAACGCUUUGCUACUGUUUCUGUCUCCACCGAUGUGAGCUCACCCAGGCCUCGGAUCACACCUCCUUCCUCUCUACAUCCUGCUCACUGGCCUCCAGUCUCACUAGCCUCCUUUCUGUUUCAAACAUGAACGUUUCUUCCGCCUUAGGGCCUUUGCACUUGCUGUGCCCGCUGAUCUUCAUUUGGCUGCUCCCCUGCACCCUUCACGCCAAUGUUAUUUUGCUCACAGAGCUUUCUCUUUCCGUCUUAUGUAAUGGCGGGCAGUGACAUUCCCUCGUCUCAUUUCUUUCAUGGCAUCUAUCUACUGGAAAUUGUUUACUUCUUUUUUAUGUAUUCUCCCUCUCUCCAACUAGAAAAUAUCAGGACAAGGCUCACAGGGAGAAGAGAGCUGUGAAAAUCUUUAUCGGCAAGUUAUUAGAGAAAACAAACAUAAGAUUCUUGUCUCAGCUGCUUCCAUUCACUCCUUCAUUCAUUCAUUUUUACUUUAAAAGAUUACUUUACUAGGCCUUUAA